This 2929-nucleotide ribosomal RNA is filed under the name Salmonella enterica. RNAcentral describes it as "bacterial LSU rRNA". It matches the Rfam family "Bacterial large subunit ribosomal RNA". The record is from RNAcentral. Lineage: Bacteria; Pseudomonadati; Pseudomonadota; Gammaproteobacteria; Enterobacterales; Enterobacteriaceae.
GGGUUGUGAGGUUAAGCGACUAAGCGUACACGGUGGAUGCCCUGGCAGUCAGAGGCGAUGAAGGACGUGCUAAUCUGCGAUAAGCGCCGGUAAGGUGAUAUGAACCGUUAUAACCGGCGAUUUCCGAAUGGGGAAACCCAGUGUGACUCGUCACACUAUCAUUAACUGAAUCCAUAGGUUAAUGAGGCGAACCGGGGGAACUGAAACAUCUAAGUACCCCGAGGAAAAGAAAUCAACCGAGAUUCCCCCAGUAGCGGCGAGCGAACGGGGAGGAGCCCAGAGCCUGAAUCAGCAUGUGUGUUAGUGGAAGCGUCUGGAAAGGCGCGCGAUACAGGGUGACAGCCCCGUACACAAAAGCGCAUGUGCUGUGAGCUCGAUGAGUAGGGCGGGACACGUGGUAUCCUGUCUGAAUAUGGGGGGACCAUCCUCCAAGGCUAAAUACUCCUGACUGACCGAUAGUGAACCAGUACCGUGAGGGAAAGGCGAAAAGAACCCCGGCGAGGGGAGUGAAAAAGAACCUGAAACCGUGUACGUACAAGCAGUGGGAGCACAGGUUUACCUGUGUGACUGCGUACCUUUUGUAUAAUGGGUCAGCGACUUAUAUUCUGUAGCAAGGUUAACCGUAUAGGGGAGCCGGAGGGAAACCGAGUCUUAAUUGGGCGUUAAGUUGCAGGGUAUAGACCCGAAACCCGGUGAUCUAGCCAUGGGCAGGUUGAAGGUUGGGUAACACUAACUGGAGGACCGAACCGACUAAUGUUGAAAAAUUAGCGGAUGACCUGUGGCUGGGGGUGAAAGGCCAAUCAAACCGGGAGAUAGCUGGUUCUCCCCGAAAGCUAUUUAGGUAGCGCCUCGUGAAUUCAUCUCCGGGGGUAGAGCACUGUUUCGGCUAGGGGGCCAUCCCGGCUUACCAACCCGAUGCAAACUGCGAAUACCGGAGAAUGUUAUCACGGGAGACACACGGCGGGUGCUAACGUCCGUCGUGAAGAGGGAAACAACCCAGACCGCCAGCUAAGGUCCCAAAGUCAUGGUUAAGUGGGAAACGAUGUGGGAAGGCCCAGACAGCCAGGAUGUUGGCUUAGAAGCAGCCAUCAUUUAAAGAAAGCGUAAUAGCUCACUGGUCGAGUCGGCCUGCGCGGAAGAUGUAACGGGGCUAAACCAUGCACCGAAGCUGCGGCAGCGACGCUGAUGCGUUGUUGGGUAGGGGAGCGUUCUGUAAGCCUGUGAAGGUGGCCUGUGAGGGUUGCUGGAGGUAUCAGAAGUGCGAAUGCUGACAUAAGUAACGAUAAAGCGGGUGAAAAGCCCGCUCGCCGGAAGACCAAGGGUUCCUGUCCAACGUUAAUCGGGGCAGGGUGAGUCGACCCCUAAGGCGAGGCCGAAAGGCGUAGUCGAUGGGAAACGGGUUAAUAUUCCCGUACUUGGUGUUACUGCGAAGGGGGGACGGAGAAGGCUAUGUUGGCCGGGCGACGGUUGUCCCGGUUUAAGCGUGUAGGUGUGUGUUCCAGGUAAAUCCGGUUCACUUUAACACUGAGGCGUGAUGACGAGGCACUACGGUGCUGAAGCAACAAAUGCCCUGCUUCCAGGAAAAGCCUCUAAGCAUCAGGUAACAUCAAAUCGUACCCCAAACCGACACAGGUGGUCAGGUAGAGAAUACCAAGGCGCUUGAGAGAACUCGGGUGAAGGAACUAGGCAAAAUGGUGCCGUAACUUCGGGAGAAGGCACGCUGACACGUAGGUGAAGUGAUUUACUCACGGAGCUGAAGUCAGUCGAAGAUACCAGCUGGCUGCAACUGUUUAUUAAAAACACAGCACUGUGCAAACACGAAAGUGGACGUAUACGGUGUGACGCCUGCCCGGUGCCGGAAGGUUAAUUGAUGGGGUCAGCGCAAGCGAAGCUCCUGAUCGAAGCCCCGGUAAACGGCGGCCGUAACUAUAACGGUCCUAAGGUAGCGAAAUUCCUUGUCGGGUAAGUUCCGACCUGCACGAAUGGCGUAAUGAUGGCCAGGCUGUCUCCACCCGAGACUCAGUGAAAUUGAACUCGCUGUGAAGAUGCAGUGUACCCGCGGCAAGACGGAAAGACCCCGUGAACCUUUACUAUAGCUUGACACUGAACAUUGAGCCUUGAUGUGUAGGAUAGGUGGGAGGCUUUGAAGUGUGGACGCCAGUCUGCAUGGAGCCGACCUUGAAAUACCACCCUUUAAUGUUUGAUGUUCUAACGUGGACCCGUAAUCCGGGUUGCGGACAGUGUCUGGUGGGUAGUUUGACUGGGGCGGUCUCCUCCUAAAGAGUAACGGAGGAGCACGAAGGUUGGCUAAUCCUGGUCGGACAUCAGGAGGUUAGUGCAAUGGCAUAAGCCAGCUUGACUGCGAGCGUGACGGCGCGAGCAGGUGCGAAAGCAGGUCAUAGUGAUCCGGUGGUUCUGAAUGGAAGGGCCAUCGCUCAACGGAUAAAAGGUACUCCGGGGAUAACAGGCUGAUACCGCCCAAGAGUUCAUAUCGACGGCGGUGUUUGGCACCUCGAUGUCGGCUCAUCACAUCCUGGGGCUGAAGUAGGUCCCAAGGGUAUGGCUGUUCGCCAUUUAAAGUGGUACGCGAGCUGGGUUUAGAACGUCGUGAGACAGUUCGGUCCCUAUCUGCCGUGGGCGCUGGAGAACUGAGGGGGGCUGCUCCUAGUACGAGAGGACCGGAGUGGACGCAUCACUGGUGUUCGGGUUGUCAUGCCAAUGGCACUGCCCGGUAGCUAAAUGCGGAAGAGAUAAGUGCUGAAAGCAUCUAAGCACGAAACUUGCCCCGAGAUGAGUUCUCCCUGAGACUUUAAGUCUCCUGAAGGAACGUUGAAGACGACGACGUUGAUAGGCCGGGUGUGUAAGCGCAGCGAUGCGUUGAGCUAACCGGUACUAAUGAACCGUGAGGCUUAACCUUACAACGCCGAAG